AUUGAACGCUGGCGGCAUGCCUUACACAUGCAAGUCGAACGGCAGCACGGGAGCAAUCCUGGUGGCGAGUGGCGAACGGGUGAGUAAAGUAUCGGAACGUGCCCAGUCGUGGGGGAUAACGUAGCGAAAGUUACGCUAAUACCGCAUACGAUCUAUGGAUGAAAGCGGGGGAUCGCAAGACCUCGCGCGAUUGGAGCGGCCGAUAUCAGAUUAGGUAGUUGGUGGGGUAAAGGCUCACCAAGCCGACGAUCUGUAGCUGGUCUGAGAGGACGACCAGCCACACUGGGACUGAGACACGGCCCAGACUCCGACGGGAGGCAGCAGUGGGGAAUUUUGGACAAUGGGCGAAAGCCUGAUCUAGCAUGCCGCGUGCAGGAUGAAGGCCUUCGGGUUGUAAACUGCUUUUGUACGGAACGAAAAGGUUUGGCCUAAUAAGCUGAGCUCAUGACGGUACCGUAAGAAUAAGCACCGGCUAACUACGUGCCAGCAGCCGCCGUAA
This 499-nucleotide ribosomal RNA is filed under the name uncultured bacterium. Its description in RNAcentral is "partial 16S ribosomal RNA". It matches the Rfam family "Bacterial small subunit ribosomal RNA", at positions 30 to 523 of the family's 1533-position model. The record is from RNAcentral.